UACGGAGGGUGCAAGCGUUAAUCGGAAUUACUGGGCGUAAAGCGCACGCAGGCGGUUGGAUAAGUUAGAUGUGAAAGCCCCGGGCUCAACCUGGGAAUUGCAUUUAAAACUGUCCGACUAGAGUCUUGUAGAGGGGGGUAGAAUUCCAGGUGUAGCGGUGAAAUGCGUAGAGAUCUGGAGGAAUACCGGUGGCGAAGGCGGCCCCCUGGACAAAGACUGAUGCUCAGGUGCGAAAGCGUGGGGAGCAAACAGG
This 253-nucleotide ribosomal RNA is filed under the name uncultured bacterium. RNAcentral describes it as "partial 16S ribosomal RNA". It matches the Rfam family "Bacterial small subunit ribosomal RNA", at positions 524 to 776 of the family's 1533-position model. The record is from RNAcentral.